ACGAUGCUCCUGUAAUACCUCAAUUUUUAACAAUCAUAUGUAUGUUUUAAGAAAAGUAUGUUUCCAGUUUAAAACAAUGUAAAUUUAGAAACACAAUCCUUUCAGAAAUUGAGAACUGCCUACUGUGCUAGUGGUCUUUGGAAAACAUUUACAAAGUUAUGGCUAAGACAACAGUUUUACAGCUGUUGGUUUAAUGACUCAUAUUUGAAACCCAAGAUUGUGUGUUUGUGACUUUGAACCAAACCCCCCAGCUAAGAUGGCAGGUUAUAACCAUUUUCUUCCCCUUUCACUCUCUGAGCAGUCCCCAAACAGAAACUCUACAAAAGAACGAACCUGAAGAUUAUUUCUACCUGUUCACAUGCUAUCCUAACGCUGUAUUCAUGCCUAUGAAGUCUCUUCGUGCAUAGGGCAGGAAAGGGUGUGUGACAGGUGGCUCCUUGAUUUUCUUCUAUUCUUGUGAUGAGAAAGUGGUGCUGAAUGGCUGGACUACAAUAAUUCCAUUUCAUCUUUGUGACAUUCAAGUCCUCAGCAGCUCACAUCUAGGCUGGGAUGGCCACCUACCUGGUCUUCCCAUCUCUAUUUUGUGAUAAGGCAGAGACAAGGAGCCUGAUGAUGUAGCCUACCCAGGUCAGCUUCCCGGGUCAGAGUGGAGAAGUGAGUCAAAUUGGUCAAGAAAUUUCACCUUCUCACCUGGAUGAAUUAAAAGACCUGACAUUGAGAUGACCACCUAUGUCCAUGCCCUGGUGUCAAGAAUCAACUUGAGAAUGGGUCUAUCACAUUUGA
Myotis lucifugus (little brown bat) is the source of this 783-nucleotide long non-coding RNA. RefSeq lists it as uncharacterized. The record is from RefSeq and is a predicted model, not a curated record. The transcript has 4 exons. NCBI's taxonomy places the organism in Eukaryota, Metazoa, Chordata, Mammalia, Chiroptera, Vespertilionidae.